CAGCAGCCGCCGCGGUAAUACAGAGGGUGCGAGCGUUAAUCGGAUUUACUGGGCGUAAAGCGUGCGUAGGCGGCUAAUUGAGUCGGAUGUGAAAUCCACGAGCUUAACUUGGGAAUUGCAUUCGAUACUGGUUAGCUAGAGUGUGGGAGAGGAUGGUAGAAUUCCAGGUGUAGCGGUGAAAUGCGUAGAGAUCUGGAGGAAUACCGAUGGCGAAGGCAGCCAUCUGGCCUAACACUGACGCUGAGGUACGAAAGCAUGGGGAGCAAACAGGAUUAGAGACCCCAGUAGUCCCUGUCUCUUAUAA
RNAcentral lists this ribosomal RNA (304 nucleotides) under uncultured bacterium. Its description in RNAcentral is "partial 16S ribosomal RNA". It matches the Rfam family "Bacterial small subunit ribosomal RNA", at positions 506 to 809 of the family's 1533-position model. The record is from RNAcentral.